This 29-nucleotide ribosomal RNA is filed under the name Globodera rostochiensis. Its description in RNAcentral is "partial 18S ribosomal RNA". The record is from RNAcentral. Lineage: Eukaryota; Metazoa; Nematoda; Chromadorea; Rhabditida; Heteroderidae. RNAcentral also lists the same sequence under 1 other name.
CUGUAGGUGAACCUGCUGCUGGAUCAUUA